CGAGGUGCCAAUGCGAAUAAUGGUUAUGUUGGAACACUUGGCAUGAUACAACAGUUUGAUCAGCUCGUGCAACAUGAUUGAAAUAGAAGGAAUGCCCAUACCGUGACUGACUGACAGAACGGGUCCCACUUUGUACAUGGCGUAACGGUCAGUUCCCGCACAGAUGUUGGGGUAGUCACCACCAGAGCUCCCAAGUCCAAGUUCUUCAGCUAUGUAGGCAAUAAAAGCUUUCAUCC
This 236-nucleotide long non-coding RNA is filed under the name Gallus gallus (chicken). Lineage: Eukaryota; Metazoa; Chordata; Aves; Galliformes; Phasianidae. The record is from RNAcentral.